RNAcentral lists this ribosomal RNA (430 nucleotides) under Acidobacteriota bacterium. Its description in RNAcentral is "Acidobacteria bacterium partial 16S ribosomal RNA". It matches the Rfam family "Bacterial small subunit ribosomal RNA", at positions 355 to 776 of the family's 1533-position model. The record is from RNAcentral. Lineage: Bacteria; Pseudomonadati; Acidobacteriota.
UGGGGAAUAUUGGACAAUGGGCGCAAGCCUGAUCCAGCCAUGCCGCGUGUGUGAAGAAGGCCUUUUGGUUGUAAAGCACUUUAAGCGAGGAGGAGGCUACUUGGAUUAAUACUCUAGGAUAGUGGACGUUACUCGCAGAAUAAGCACCGGCUAACUCUGUGCCAGCAGCCGCGGUAAUACAGAGGGUGCGAGCGUUAAUCGGAUUUACUGGGCGUAAAGCGUGCGUAGGCGGCUUCUUAAGUCGGAUGUGAAAUCCCUGAGAUUAACUUAGGAAUUGCAUUCGAUACUGGGAAGCUAGAGUAUGGGAGAGGAUGGUAGAAUUCCAGGUGUAGCGGUGAAAUGCGUAGAGUUCUGGAGGAAUACCGAUGGCGAAGGCAGCCAUCUGGCCUAAUACUGACGCUGAGGUACGAAAGCAUGGGGAGCAAACAGG